GUGACUUGUGUAGUCAGGUCAUGUGACCUUGCAUGCAACAUGCUGCUCUCCAAAAGUUUGACCUGCUGUUUUCCUGCUUGCUAUUUUUUGCAAAUCAUCUGUAGUAUACACUGCAGUGUUCAGUAAGUCGAAUGCUAGUGUUCUGUGCUGAACAAAAGUCAUUGGGAUGAGAAUGGAUGAGCAGCAAAGGACAAAAACAAGAAAACAGAAAAACAUUAAGAUCAACAAAAUCCACAGACUGAGGACUGCGCGGACGACACACAACACACAGGCGCUGCUGUGUCUCCGGCCCGUUUCUAUUGUCUCCUGGCUUUUUCCAGCACAAAAACCUCACCAAACAACUGGGACUACUAGACGUGGAUUUCUCUCUCUCUCUCUCUCCCUCGAGCUCUUCCGAAUACGUGCCAAGAUGAAUUCGAGUCAAAUGAAGAAAGUUAGCAAUCCUGCGGGGAAUGGAAGUGUGAUAU
RNAcentral lists this long non-coding RNA (467 nucleotides) under Danio rerio (zebrafish). Its description in RNAcentral is "lncRNA (ENSDARG00000117479.1)". The record is from RNAcentral. Lineage: Eukaryota; Metazoa; Chordata; Actinopteri; Cypriniformes; Danionidae.